CUCUCUCUCUCUCUCUCUCUCUCUCUCUCUGAACAGCAUUUUACAUAUUUGAAUGCAUGAGAAGGGAGGGCACAAAGCAAUAGUAAAGUCCUCAAUUGAUUUCUUCUAUUUUCUUUUUCAGCAAAUGUCCCCAGCAGGCCACAGGCAAUUUGAAGCAUUUAUCCAGCCAACCACCGUUUCCCGACCUUCAGUAUUGCCCUCUUCUGCAAAUGCCAACCCCAUUCAACCUGACGCUCCGUGGCUCCCAGACACUUGCCGUUGAGUGCUGACCAGGUGUUCUACUGAGGGAAUCAAACACCGACUAUCCAAAGAGAAAAGGAUGCUUUGUUUUUAUAAUAACGUAUAUUAUUGUUUCCUUCUCCCCUUUCUAUGCAACUGUAAAUUAAUGAACAGAGAAGUAUUUGGAGGUGGUAAAGCAUUUGUCACUGAUUUGUAUAAUACACGCAGCCAUGGGAAAGUGGGUGGGGGCUUUCUAAUAUGAAACUGUCUUUUUAAUAACUGAGAGAAAAAUUGCAUAAGAACUAGACCACUUCACAUUAUUACAUUCCUUCUGCUGUUCAUAUUAACCUUGUAUAACUUCAUUUAUUAUUCGACUGUUUUAUCGUUAUGCUUUGGUUUAUUUAUAAAUUCAUCAGCCACACAACCAAAUAGAUUCUAUGUAUUUGUUUCUAUAAUUUGGCCAAAUCCUUAAGUUCAUAUAUUUGAAUCAAAUGUUUUAUCUGUGUGGAGUAGGCAGCAAUUCUGACUAUACUAUUUAACUUGAGUCAACGUCGUACACAGUCCUUUAAUAACCACUGGAUCACUACACUAAAAAUACUGUGGACUUAAAUGGUAAGCUGCUAGGGUUUAUUUUCUCCUGUUUUCAUUUCUUUUUUUUUUUUUUUUGUAAGUAGAUCUUGACAUCUUUAUUUAUUUCAUCUUGCAAUCUCUAUAAUAAAGAAGAAUGCAUUGCAAUAGUCUCAAAAAAUUAUUUUACCAAGGCUUGCCAUUUAAGCAUAUUUUCAUUUCGACCUAGAAAACAUAGUUGUUAGAAACAACCCCUCCCAGUACUUGCAACCUUGGUUUUCAUUAUAGAACACACAGCAGACUUUGCCCAUUGUGAGACCAGAGCACAUCAUGGUCUUCAGUUUCCUUUGAGUAGACUUUUAUUGUUGUUUUUGUAUUUUUUUUCAAGUUCUCUGUAAGCUUUGAAAGCUCUGGUCGUUUCCUUUACGAAAGCAGACAGAUACUUAGUGACUGUCUCAUUUGACACUCUGGAGCAGUCAGUCAGACGUCAUGACCCCCCCUCACUUGACCAGCAGCACAUCUGGGAAGGAUGUCAAUCACAAGUCCACACCACUGCUUCUCAAGAAUGAAACUAAUGCUUGGAUGAUUGUAUCUUUCCCUCUACUUCUGAGCGCGUUCACUAGAUAUUUACUUGUUUUGCCUUUCCUUUUCUUUUAAUUUAACAUUUAAUUACCAAUUUUAGAGAAACCAAAAAUAAAAGUAAAGGUAAUAUGUUUUGAUUCAAACAUAUAUGCUUUUAAAACAUCAGGACAUGCUAACUUUAUGUUCUCUUUCACUGGGAUCUGGCCAGAAGGAGGCUGAAAGUUAGAAAUCGCUAUUCUUUUAGGAUCGGUUGGGUGGGUUGGGGGGACAAGGGUGUCUAUUUGCAGCAUAGAUAUUUUGAGACGAAGAGAAUUGUUUUAUAUAAGAGGAGAGCCAUGAUCACCUUUCUACCUCAGAACCAUCCUCCUCCAUCGUGUUGGACAUAGCUUUAUAUGCCGCAGUGUGCAAAGGCUAGGGCUUUCAUCAGACCAUUUCAUACCCAGGAAAGCACCUGUUUAAACAUCAUCAACAAAAAAAAAAAACUCCCUGAACUCAGAACCCCAAGUUGUAGAUUUGGUGUCUUUCUUGUUCUUGCUUUGAGGAGUCGUGUAUUCUUUUAUUUCCUGCCUGUGUUUGUAUGCAAAAAUGAUCUCUACCCGCUAUUACAGAAAAAGCUACACAAAACACUACAUUGUAACCUUCUGAGUAAUGAAUAAGAAGAAAUAUAUUACAGUAACCAUGAUGAGAAAUAAGUGUAUUGUUCAUUUGAAAUAUGUGGUUAAAAAAAAAAAUCUAAUCACAGACUGUCAUCUAAUCUGUUACAUACUGUAUUUUUCAUCCUGAAUAAAAGUAAUUUUAACACAAAAUGA
This is a long non-coding RNA of Rattus rattus (black rat), 2177 nucleotides long. RefSeq lists it as uncharacterized. Lineage: Eukaryota; Metazoa; Chordata; Mammalia; Rodentia; Muridae. The record is from RefSeq and is a predicted model, not a curated record. The transcript has 2 exons.